This 555-nucleotide ribosomal RNA is filed under the name Trichoderma harzianum. Its description in RNAcentral is "eukaryotic LSU rRNA". The stretch from base 215 to 368 matches the Rfam family "5.8S ribosomal RNA". The record is from RNAcentral. Lineage: Eukaryota; Fungi; Ascomycota; Sordariomycetes; Hypocreales; Hypocreaceae.
GCGGAGGGAUCAUUACCGAGUUUACAACUCCCAAACCCAAUGUGAACGUUACCAAACUGUUGCCUCGGCGGGAUCUCUGCCCCGGGUGCGUCGCAGCCCCGGACCAAGGCGCCCGCCGGAGGACCAACCAAAAACUCUUUUGUAUACCCCCUCGCGGGUUUUUUAUAUCUGAGCCAUCUCGGCGCCUCUCGUAGGCGUUUCGAAAAUGAAUCAAAACUUUCAACAACGGAUCUCUUGGUUCUGGCAUCGAUGAAGAACGCAGCGAAAUGCGAUAAGUAAUGUGAAUUGCAGAAUUCAGUGAAUCAUCGAAUCUUUGAACGCACAUUGCGCCCGCCAGUAUUCUGGCGGGCAUGCCUGUCCGAGCGUCAUUUCAACCCUCGAACCCCUCCGGGGGGUCGGCGUUGGGGAUCGGCCCUUUACGGGGCCGGCCCCGAAAUACAGUGGCGGUCUCGCCGCAGCCUCUCCUGCGCAGUAGUUUGCACACUCGCAUCGGGAGCGCGGCGCGUCCAUUGCCGUAAAACACCCAACUUUCUGAAAUGUUGACCUCGGAUCAGG